AAGUCGAACGCGAACGGUUUCCUUCGGGGAACCUAGUAGAGUGGCAGACGGGUGAGUAACACGUGGGCAACCUACCCCGAGGCGGGGGAUAACCACUGGAAACGGUGGCUAAUACCGCAUGAGACCACGACCCUUCGGGGCUGUGGUUAAAGGCUUCGGCCACCUUGGGAGGGGCCCGCGGCCGAUUAGCUAGUUGGUGAGGUAACGGCUCACCAAGGCGACGAUCGGUAGCUGGUCUGAGAGGAUGAUCAGCCACACUGGUACUGAGACACGGACCAGACUCCUACGGGAGGCAGCAGUGGGGAAUAUUGCGCAAUGGACGAAAGUCUGACGCAGCAACGCCGCGUGGGUGAUGAAGGCCUUCGGGUCGUAAAGCCCUGUCAGGUGGGAAGAACCGGGUCCUUCGGGGCCUCUGACGGUACCACCAAAGGAAGCACCGGCUAACUCCGUGCCAGCAGCCGCGGUAAUACGGAGGGUGCAAGCGUUGUUCGGAAUUACUGGGCGUAAAGGGCGCGUAGGCGGACCAAUUAGUCUGGUGUGAAAGCCCGGGGCUCAACCCCGGAAGUGCACUGGAAACUGUUGGUCUUGAGUUCGGGAGAGGAAAGGCAGAUUUCCCGGUGUAGGAGUGAAAUCCGUAGAGAUCGGGAGGAAAAUCAGUGGCGAAAGGCGGCCUUCUGGAACGAAACUGACGCUGAGGCGCGAAAGCGUGGGGAGCA
This 716-nucleotide ribosomal RNA is filed under the name uncultured bacterium. Its description in RNAcentral is "bacterial SSU rRNA". It matches the Rfam family "Bacterial small subunit ribosomal RNA", at positions 59 to 770 of the family's 1533-position model. The record is from RNAcentral.